GCGAUCGUCAGGGUCACCAUUAGAGAGUCCGGAAGAAAGUGUGGUCAUUUUGAACAUCUCACUCUGAGCCAGACGAGAGGUUUGGGUUUUGAGGGUCACAGACCCGUCUGUACUGCUCUUCUAAGAUCCCGCUGUUCUCCAUCGCGUAGCUCGGAUUUGGAGAAAUACACCCUCGAACUACCCUAAGGCUACAGAGGAGAGAGACGUGGGUGUCGAACCAGGUCCUUGGUCUGGCCCUUCUCUCUUGCUUCUGUUCCUCCAAUCUCCUGCGUGUGUUGGUGGAGAAACUGGCGGCAAAGGCAGGCAGGUGGGACCUUUCUCAGGUGCAGCCAUCUGCUGACGGCAGCCUGGAGCAGGCACACCACACCGAGGAGAGGGCAGCGAGAGUCCAGGUCCAGGGUGUGGCCAGAGGGCCUUCUCCACGGCUGCGUCCAGGCCCAUCAGGGUCCUGAGAUAUUAGGAACGAGUCAAAUUAAAGAGGAGAAUCUACUUUGAGACAGAUUUUAAGAAUUCAGUGACCACUAGCACAGAAUGUGAAAGGGCAGGAGCAGCCAUGAGAAUCCAGCGUCUGCUCUUAACUGAAUUCACUCCAACAGAACUAGGUUGAGGUUUGCGUUUUUUUCUUUCCCUCUUUGAAGCUAAAACUAAACACCCUCUUGGCUCUCUUCUACCUACAUUUAUUUAUUCAUUUAUUUAAAGUCUGCUUGUCUUAUGAUAGCAUGUAUGUGUGCAGGAUAGAGAAAGACGGAGUAGGGAGGGCACUUCCUCCGAGCAGUGACUCCUUUCCCCGGCCCUUCAGCUCAGCAGGGUCUUGGACAUCCCCAUCUGCCCUUUGCCAGCCGCCCUGAAGUCAGCCCUGUGGCUUCCAGUGCGGCUGCUGUUUGCUGCUCAGAGCUCCCAGGCGAGGCCUCCAUUUUUAUGUCUAAGAGUCUAUGAUGAUCAUUAAA
This is a long non-coding RNA of Tupaia belangeri chinensis (Chinese tree shrew), 947 nucleotides long. RefSeq lists it as uncharacterized. NCBI's taxonomy places the organism in Eukaryota, Metazoa, Chordata, Mammalia, Scandentia, Tupaiidae. The transcript is spliced from 3 exons. The record is from RefSeq and is a predicted model, not a curated record.